This 254-nucleotide ribosomal RNA is filed under the name uncultured bacterium. Its description in RNAcentral is "partial 16S ribosomal RNA". It matches the Rfam family "Bacterial small subunit ribosomal RNA", at positions 524 to 776 of the family's 1533-position model. The record is from RNAcentral.
UACGUAGGGCGCGAGCGUUGUCCGGAUUUAUUGGGCGUAAAGAGCUCGUAGGCGGUGUGUCACGUCGGCCGUGAAAACCUGCAGCUUAACUGUGGGCGUGCGGUCGAUACGGGCAUCACUGGAGUUCGGCAGGGGAGACUGGAAUUCCUGGUGUAGCGGUGAAAUGCGCAGAUAUCAGGAGGAACACCCGUGGCGAAGGCGGCUCUCUGGGACGGUACUGACGCUGAGACGCGAAAGCGUGGGGAGCGAACAGG